UACGUAGGGGGCGAGCGUUGUCCGGAUUUAUUGGGCGUAAAGAGCUCGUAGGCGGUUCGGCAAGUCGACGGUGAAAUCUCCACGCUCAACGUGGAGGGGUCCGUCGACACUGCUGUGACUCGAGUCCGGUAGGGGAGUGUGGAAUUCCCGGUGUAGCGGUGAAAUGCGCAGAGAUCGGGAGGAACACCCGUAGCGAAGGCGGCACUCUGGGCCGGUACUGACGCUGAGGAGCGAAAGCGUGGGGAGCGAACAGG
This 254-nucleotide ribosomal RNA is filed under the name uncultured bacterium. RNAcentral's name for it is "partial 16S ribosomal RNA". It matches the Rfam family "Bacterial small subunit ribosomal RNA", at positions 524 to 776 of the family's 1533-position model. The record is from RNAcentral.